GGGCGCUUAGCUCAGUUGGUUAGAGCGCUUCGUUUACACCGAAGAGGUCAGGAGUUCGAGUCUCUUAGCGCCCA
RNAcentral lists this transfer RNA (74 nucleotides) under Anaerolineae bacterium. RNAcentral describes it as "tRNA-Val". It matches the Rfam family "tRNA". Rfam says of the family: Transfer RNA (tRNA) molecules are approximately 80 nucleotides in length. Their secondary structure includes four short double-helical elements and three loops (D, anti-codon, and T loops). Lineage: Bacteria; Bacillati; Chloroflexota; Anaerolineae. RNAcentral also lists the same sequence under 1 other name. The record is from RNAcentral.